Passer domesticus (house sparrow) is the source of this 1794-nucleotide long non-coding RNA. RefSeq lists it as uncharacterized. The transcript is spliced from 3 exons. The record is from RefSeq and is a predicted model, not a curated record. Lineage: Eukaryota; Metazoa; Chordata; Aves; Passeriformes; Passeridae.
CAAACCCAGCUCUAACACCCCAAAACCCAGCUCUAACACCCCAAAACCCAACUCUAACAUCCCAAACCCAGCUCUAACACCCCAAACCCAGCUCUAACAUCCCAAACCCAGCUCUAACACCCCAAAACUCAGCUCUAACACCCCAAAUCCAGCUUCCUCCUUCACCUUCUUCUUCUCUGGGCCCUUGGCACCUCGUUCCCCAAAGAGGAGGCAGGGCAGAGCUGUGGCUUUUGGGGAAAACUCUCCUAUUUUGGGGUUUUUGGGGUAUUUUUGGUGUGCAGACCUGCUGGGUCAGGAUUGCCUCCCUGCACAGGAAGGAAUUUUGGCCCUCACUAAUAAAAAAAUUAUCAUUCUCCAGGAUUAAUGCCACUGGUUCUGUGUGUGCUCCACAAAACCUGUCUGGUUUCCCUGGAUUAAAGGGAAUUAUUCCCAGUAAAUUUCAUUGCACUGAGAAUAUUUCUUAUUUUGGGGUUUUUUUGUUUUGUUUUGUUUUUUGGGUUUUUUGGGUUUUUUUGCCUAAGUUUGAACAAGAGAAAAGUUCAAAAGUUGAGAGCUCCAGACCCAGCAGAUUUUUUAAAAUCUCUUUUUCUACAACAGGAACGUUUUUAUUAUAUAUAAAAAAAAAAAUUCCCCCUCUUCUAGACCUCAAAUUUUUAUGGAUUUUUGCCGUGGAUCAACCAGAUCAAACUCAACAGGUGUGAGCCAUCACUUCACCCUUUCCCACUGCUUAAUUUUUAAUAUUUCCACCAAGCUCAGCUGCCAGAGCAGGGCAGAGCCAGGCUUUACAUUCAGGCUGAGUUUAGUCAGUGGAAAAUUUGAUUUUAAAGUGCUUUUUCCCCCCCUUUUUUCACAUAACCCAUUCCAGGGACUCAAUAUUUUGUCCUUAUCCCAAUGGAAUUUUCUCUCCUACAAAAUCCCACUUGUUGAUGACUGCCCAAGGAAAAGUCAUUCCUUAGAUCCUAAGGAAUUUUGGACAUCACAGCCAGGAAUGACAGACAGACACAAAUAUGGACCAGGAAAUUAUUCAGGUCCAGAAAAAAACCUGGGGCUCCAAGACAAGAGGCACUAGGGAAUAGCAAAAGUGGGAAUGGCAGAAAAAUGGGAAUAUUUGGGCGGUUUUGGGGCUUGUAAUUAACUGAACUGGGUAUAAGGAAUUUUAAAAAUGACCCCAAAACACAGAAAAUGGAGCAGGGAGGGGAGAGCAGGAGUUGUGGAGUCCUUUCCCUGCCACCAGACUGCAGGAGGCCACUGAGAAUUUCAAGGAAUCCAUGGAAAAAAAUGAGAUUUUUCUGGCAAUCCUUUAGUCCUGGGUGUUUCCCCCAUUUCUGGAUACAGAAAGAUGAAAGGAGGGGAAGUGAUGAGGGUUCAGAUUCCUGGGGAUGGAAUUUCCCUUUUUAUCUUGCCCCACAAGAAGGGGGUGCAGCAGGAGUGGGGCUGCUCAGGGGCCCCUCCGUGCUGGGUUUUGGGGUGUUUAACCAGGAUUUUGGGGUGUUUAACCAGGCUCACCCUAGAAGAAGAGGCUGCUCAGGGCCCCCUCUUGCUGCUUCUUGGGGUUUUGGGGUGUUUUAACCAGACUUUUGGGGUGUUUUCACCAGUUUUUUGGGUGUUUAACCAGGCUCACCCUGCUCAGGGCCCCCUCUGUGCUGGGUUUUGGGGUGUUUUGACCAGACUUUUGGGGUGUUUUCACCAGGAUUUUGGGGUGUUUAACCAGGCUCACCCUGCAGCAGGAGGGCCAGAGCAGCUCCUUUCCUCCCAGGCCAGGGCUGGGGGGUGUUGGUGAAUCAGACCCGACAC